RNAcentral lists this non-coding RNA (54 nucleotides) under Trichobilharzia regenti. The record is from RNAcentral. Lineage: Eukaryota; Metazoa; Platyhelminthes; Trematoda; Strigeidida; Schistosomatidae.
GUACUGAUGAAGAGUCCCAAACCAAACAAACUGGACGAAACAGCUGUCCAUUAC